GACGAACGCUGGCGGCGUGCCUAAUACAUGCAAGUAGAACGCUGAAGGAGGAGCUUGCUUCUCUGGAUGAGUUGCGAACGGGUGAGUAACGCGUAGGUAACCUGCCUGGUAGCGGGGGAUAACUAUUGGAAACGAUAGCUAAUACCGCAUAAGAGUAGAUGUCGCAUGACAUUUGCUUAAAAGGUGCAAUUGCAUCACUACCAGAUGGACCUGCGUUGUAUUAGCUAGUUGGUGAGGUAACGGCUCACCAAGGCAACGAUACAUAGCCGACCUGAGAGGGUGAACGGGCAAACUGGGACUGAGAAAAGGCCCAAGAUGCUAAGGGGAGGAGCAGGAGGGAAUCUUCGGCAAUGGACGGAAGUCUGACCGAGCAACGCCGCGUGAGUGAAGAAGGUUUUCGGAUCGUAAAGCUCUGUUGUAAGAGAAGAACGAGUGUGAGAGUGGAAAGUUCACACUGUGACGGUAUCUUACCAGAAAGGGACGGCUAACUACGUG
RNAcentral lists this ribosomal RNA (495 nucleotides) under uncultured bacterium. Its description in RNAcentral is "partial 16S ribosomal RNA". It matches the Rfam family "Bacterial small subunit ribosomal RNA", at positions 28 to 507 of the family's 1533-position model. The record is from RNAcentral.